GACGAACGCUGGCGGCGUGCUUAACACAUGCAAGUCGAACGGUAAGGCCCUUCGGGGUACACGAGUGGCGAACGGGUGAGUAACACGUGGGUGAUCUGCCCUGCACUUCGGGAUAAGCCUGGGAAACUGGGUCUAAUACCGGAUAGGACUCCUGGCUUCAUGGUUGGGGGUGGAAAGCUUUUGCGGUGUGGGAUGGGCCCGCGGCCUAUCAGCUUGUUGGUGGGGUAAUGGCCUACCAAGGCGACGACGGGUAGCCGGCCUGAGAGGGUGACCGGUCACUGGGACUGAGAUACGGCCCAGACUCCUACGGGAGGCAGCAGUGGGGAAUAUUGCACAAUGGGCGCAAGCCUGAUGCAGCGACGCCGCGUGAGGGAUGACGGCCUUCGGGUUGUAAACCUCUUUCAGCUAUGACGAAGCGCAAGUGACGGUAGUAGCAGAAGAAGGACCGGCCAACUACGUGCCAGCCGCCGCGGUAA
This 476-nucleotide ribosomal RNA is filed under the name uncultured bacterium. RNAcentral describes it as "partial 16S ribosomal RNA". It matches the Rfam family "Bacterial small subunit ribosomal RNA", at positions 28 to 523 of the family's 1533-position model. The record is from RNAcentral.